GGUUGGUGCGUGUGCGUUGCGCGGGUUGUUCAAACGUGGAGUGACUGUAAGCCAUCCAUUCACGUGUCGACGCAGCGAGGAGGCGGUGGCUCAGAGGAAGUGGAGAGGCUGAGGAGCAUCAGGGACUGCAGAUAAAUUGGUGGUGCCCAUCCCUACCAGCCCUGAGAUUUAGGCAGCCAGCUGAGGUGCCACAAGAAGUACGCCACCCCCUACUGCCUUGCAAACGGAUGAAUUUUAACGUCUGAGAAGUACAUGGACUGUAUGUGAAGGCAGGGAACCUGCUCUGCUGCUGUCAUCAUCGACCUCUGAUAUCACUUGGAGCAAGACAACCAACGAUAGCAGUGAUCUGACUCUGGAGUGGUAAGAAAGGAUGAAGAGAUAAGAAGGUGGAGUUCUCAGUGAAAUGUGAGAGGUUUUGUUAGUGUAUCUGUUCAUCUAUCAAAGCCCAGACUGCAGCCUUUUGUAAAUUGACUCUGCUACUUUUCUUCUUUCAUGAACUGCUUUAAAAAAUAGAGACAAAAGGCUGCCAACUGUGUUAGUUCCUGGAAAAAUACUUCUGUUUAAUAUACAAUUCUUGAGAGAUGUUUAAAAGUGAGAUGCAGCCAUGUGUGAAUGCCUGCAUAUAUACCAAAGUGUCAUAUCACACUGAACACUUCCAACACUCUACAUGGUGACUGCUGCAGAGUGAUUGGUCCUUACUCCAUUUUUCCAAGUGGAGCCUGCUUCAGGAUUGAGCUUGACAUAUGGUCAGCACUUUAGAGACAGGGCCUUUCACUCAGCCAUGCUGAUUGCAUCACUGAGAUUGGUUUGGGUGCCCAAAUCAACUGUCUCUCCCAAGUCAAUUCAACUUGAGCACUGGAGAUGUGCAAGUCUACUGCAAUGUCUGCUACCUUUUCUUUAUAUUCUUUUCAUAAUUAAGUACCAUUUCCUAGGCUCUGGGAAGCUUUGGAAGAGGCACACAUUCUCUCAUGUUUCAUGUCACUUGUGCUGUUGUGAAGUCCUGUUCCAAUGGAUGAUUGCAUGAAAUCAGUUGUACUGUAGUUUCGUUGUCCUAUUUCAGGUCAUAUAAGGUGUGAUGACAGGACAUUCAGCUAUUAGUUUGUAUGGCAGACCCAGAGGCAGCUGUUGGCCAUAGCACAGUAAUUCUGGAGGUUCACUGAUUAAAAAUUCUUCCUGCCUGCAUAUUCAUAUGACCUGCAUUGACUUUCAAAACAUGACUCUGCUCUGUAAUAUCACUUCAUGGGAGUGUUUUCCUGAUAAUUUAUCUACUCUUCUUCCCACCUAUUAAGUCACUGUUGCUGUCAAGCCAUCUUCAGAGAGAUCAGGGUACUGAGUAGCUCUUUUCUGAAAGAGAUGGUGAUUCACACCUUUAAAAAAAAAAAAGACAUUUUUGUUGGAAUGUGAAGCUUUAACUUCAAGUCACUAUUUCUGUUUUGCCUUUCUCUGCCAAGAAUAUUCUUUCACACCUGAGAUUUUUCUGUUCUGACUCUUCAUUAACUGUCAUGGCAUCACCACUUAGUCUUUCAGCUUAAUGUAAUAAGUGUCUUUGGUUGCUCUGAAAAUAAUCCUUUAAAUGAGUGCUGUGACCUCUCUGGUUGCUUUUGGGCAUGAGUGAUGCCCAUGGUGAAGCACCAUGCACCUGUGACACAAAGCUGAAAACCUACAAUAAAGGCAAGAGUGAACACAAACAAAAGGCCAAACAAAGCAUUUUACAUUCUAAUAGGUUUCUAAUGAUGCAUGGAGUAUAGGAGAAAGCUAGAGGGAAACAGAAAUGAGCAUUCUUGGUGCGAACACUAUUUCUGUAGUAUCUGGUUAGACUGGUCCUAGGACACCAGUAUGAGUCUUGCUGUGCUGUAUGUGAGACCAGUGCCAUCAGUUGACACUGAUACAGAUGAAAUUUGAAUAUUUUGAAAAUGAGGGAUGGGAGCAGUCCCUGAACCAAUACAUAUG
Molecule: long non-coding RNA, 1950 nt
Organism: Gallus gallus (chicken)
Lineage: Eukaryota; Metazoa; Chordata; Aves; Galliformes; Phasianidae
Source: Ensembl